UGCAGCCAAGCCUGCGCGAUGAGGUC
This 26-nucleotide non-coding RNA is filed under the name Mus musculus (house mouse). The record is from RNAcentral. Lineage: Eukaryota; Metazoa; Chordata; Mammalia; Rodentia; Muridae.